This 492-nucleotide ribosomal RNA is filed under the name uncultured bacterium. RNAcentral describes it as "partial 16S ribosomal RNA". It matches the Rfam family "Bacterial small subunit ribosomal RNA", at positions 29 to 507 of the family's 1533-position model. The record is from RNAcentral.
AGUGAACGCUGGCGGUAGGCCUAACACAUGCAAGUCGAACGGCAGCACAGUAAGAGCUUGCUCUUACGGGUGGCGAGUGGCGGACGGGUGAGGAAUACAUCGGAAUCUACUUUUUCGUGGGGGAUAACGUAGGGAAACUUACGCUAAUACCGCAUACGACCUACGGGUGAAAGCAGGGGAUCUUCGGACCUUGCGCGAUUGAAUGAGCCGAUGUCGGAUUAGCUAGUUGGCGGGGUAAAGGCCCACCCAGGCGACGAUCCGUAGCUGGUGUGAGAGGAUGAUCGGCCACACUGGAACUGAGACACGGUCCAGACUCCUACGGGAGGCAGCAGUGGGGAAUAUUGGACAAUGGGCGCAAGCCUGAUCCAGCCAUACCGCGUGGGUGAAGAAGGCCUUCGGGUUGUAAAGCCCUUUUGUUGGGAAAGAAAAGCAGCAGGUUAAUACCCCGCUGUUCUGACGGUACCCAAAGAAUAAGCACCGGCUAACUUCGUG